UCAGGAUGAACGCUAGCGACAGGCUUAACACAUGCAAGUCGAGGGGCAGCACGGGAGUAGCAAUACAACUGGUGGCGACCGGCGCACGGGUGAGUAACGCGUAUGCAACCUACCUAUCAGAGGGGAAUAACCCGGCGAAAGUCGGACUAAUACCGCAUAAAACAGGGGCACCGCAUGGUGAUAUUUGUUAAAGAAAUUCGCUGAUAGAUGGGCAUGCGUUCCAUUAGGUAGUUGGUGAGGUAACGGCUCACCAAGCCGACGAUGGAUAGGGAACUGAGAGGUUGGUCCCCCACACUGGUACUGAGACACGGACCAGACUCCUACGGGAGGCAGCAGUGAGGAAUAUUGGUCAAUGGGCGGGAGCCUGAACCAACCAAGUCGCGUGAAAAGGAAGAAGGAUCUAUGGUUCGUAAACUUCUUUUGCAGGGGAAUAAAGUGCAGGACGUGUCCUGUUUUGUAUGUACCCUGAGAAUAAGGAUCGGCUAACUCCGUGCCAGCAGCUGC
This 504-nucleotide ribosomal RNA is filed under the name uncultured bacterium. RNAcentral describes it as "bacterial SSU rRNA". It matches the Rfam family "Bacterial small subunit ribosomal RNA", at positions 24 to 518 of the family's 1533-position model. The record is from RNAcentral.